GGGUCUGUGGCUCAGUGGUAGAGCACUCUCCUGGCACAUGUGAGGCACUGUGUUCGAUCCUCAGCUUCA
This 69-nucleotide transfer RNA is filed under the name Marmota monax (woodchuck). RNAcentral describes it as "tRNA.Ala". Lineage: Eukaryota; Metazoa; Chordata; Mammalia; Rodentia; Sciuridae. The record is from RNAcentral.